GCGGAUUGAGAAUCUCUCUCUCUCUCUCUCUCUCUCUCUCUCUCUUUAUUUAUAUAUAUAUAUAUAUAUAUAUAUAUAUAUAUAUAUAUAUAUAGAGAGAGAGAGAGAGAGAGAGAGAGAGAGAGAGAGAGAGAGAGAGAGAGAGAUUUUGCUUUCCA
This 158-nucleotide microRNA precursor is filed under the name Pelobates cultripes (western spadefoot toad). Lineage: Eukaryota; Metazoa; Chordata; Amphibia; Anura; Pelobatidae. The record is from RNAcentral.